Molecule: ribosomal RNA, 253 nt
Filed under: uncultured bacterium
Lineage: Bacteria
Description: partial 16S ribosomal RNA
Rfam family: Bacterial small subunit ribosomal RNA
Source: RNAcentral
UACGUAGGGUGCGAGCGUUGUUCGGAAUUACUGGGCGUAAAGCGUGCGUAGGUGGUUCGUUGUGUCUGUGGUGAAAGCCCCGGGCUUAACCUGGGAAUGGCCAUGGAAACUGGCGAGCUGGAGUGUGGCAGAGGGGGGUGGAAUUCCGCGUGUAGCAGUGAAAUGCGUAGAGAUGCGGAGGAACACCGAUGGCGAAGGCAGCCCCCUGGGCUAACACUGACGCUGAGGCACGAAAGCGUGGGGAGCAAACAGG